GACGUAGGGCGCGAGCGUUGUCCGGAUUUAUUGGGCGUAAAGAGCUCGUAGGCGGCUUGUCGCGUCGAAUGUGAAAACCCACAGCUCAACUGUGGGCUUGCAUUCGAUACGGGCAGGCUCGAGUUCGGUAGGGGAGACUGGAAUUCCUGGUGUAGCGGUGAAAUGCGCAGAUAUCAGGAAGAACACCCGUGGCGAAAGCGGCUCUCUGGAACGGUACUGACGCUGAGACGCGAAAGCGUGGGGAGCGAACAGG
This 253-nucleotide ribosomal RNA is filed under the name uncultured bacterium. RNAcentral describes it as "partial 16S ribosomal RNA". It matches the Rfam family "Bacterial small subunit ribosomal RNA", at positions 524 to 776 of the family's 1533-position model. The record is from RNAcentral.